Cavia porcellus (domestic guinea pig) is the source of this 101-nucleotide unclassified non-coding RNA. It matches the Rfam family "Y RNA". From Rfam's summary of the family: Y RNAs are components of the Ro ribonucleoprotein particle (Ro RNP), in association with Ro60 and La proteins. The Y RNAs and Ro60 and La proteins are well conserved, but the function of the Ro RNP is not known. NCBI's taxonomy places the organism in Eukaryota, Metazoa, Chordata, Mammalia, Rodentia, Caviidae. The record is from Ensembl.
GGCUAGUCCGAUGGCAGUGGGUUAUCAGAACUUACUAACAUUAGUGUCACUAAAGUUGGUAUACCACCCCCCCACACACUGCUAAAUUUGACUGGCUUUAA